RNAcentral lists this long non-coding RNA (973 nucleotides) under Capra hircus (goat). Its description in RNAcentral is "lncRNA (ENSCHIG00010015326.1)". Lineage: Eukaryota; Metazoa; Chordata; Mammalia; Artiodactyla; Bovidae. The record is from RNAcentral.
ACGGGAAGGAUCACUUUUAUUCACUCUGGUUAAGGUUCUCAAGUCUUCAAAGUGUGAUUCCUUGGGAACUUGUUAAGAAUCAAGGAAUCUCAGCCUCACUCAGAACUUCAGAAUCGGAGUCUGUAUUUUAACCAGAUCCCCAAGGAUCUGCAUGCACUGUGAAGUUCGGGAAGCUCCACUCUGAAGCCUCCCUGUCCUUGGAACUGACUGAAAAGGGAUGGACUCGAGCUUCUGGAGUGGAGACAGUUUACAGAGUCCAAGGCCUUGUUGGAGAUGCCAUGGUGAGCCCAAAUGAGUCAUGGCUGCAUUCCAGCUGGUGACGGGGAGCACGCUGUCACACGCUGGGCCACGCCGGAAGAAGGCAGGGCUCUAGGCAAAGCCUAUUCAUCCCAUUAGACUCCAUCAAGCCACUCCAUCAGGUCCCACCCUCUGUCUGGUGUUGGUUGCUUCACAUGGGCUCAGUGAGUGCCUCACCGCCCAGUCACCAUGACAGAUUAUCGCAGGUCAUGCAAGGGUGACGCCUACAUGCAUAGGGACCGGCCUCCGCUGGCCCCUAUGUCCAGCCAGGGAACUCUGCCCCUGCUCACUCAUAGGACUGAUACGCCUGUGGGUAUCAGCUAUGACACUCUGGGGAAAGGACUAUAAUGCCCCCGGGUCUUGGGGAUCUUCCCUCGCAUUUUCCUUGGUGGCUACCAUUUCUCCACCCUCCAUCUUGGAUUUCUUGGCCUUUUACACCAGGGUCCCUGCAGUGAUUUCCCCUCAUCCCACUUGGGUUUACAACUCCUUUGGCCCAAAGGCAAAAGCCCUGUGUGGAAUCAUAUUUUUUUACAUUCUAAUAGUAGGCGUGUUAAAUACCCCUUUCACACCACACUUGUUGCCCCAUGAAGACUCACGGUCUGAGGGAAGGUGCUUUUCAGGCCAAGGCUGGAACCACUGGAUGCAUCUCCCAGAGGGUUUCUCUUUUCUCUUAUAG